CAGUGGUUAUCCUGUUUAGUAAGAGAGGAAACUCAGGUUCAGACAUAGGGUGUCUGUGCUUGCCUGAGGCGCCAGUGGUGCAAAGCUGGCAUCUGUGGGGUUACAACUGAACCCCUCCAAGUCAGAAAGGUGACUGACAGG
This 141-nucleotide non-coding RNA is filed under the name Lepisosteus oculatus (spotted gar). Its description in RNAcentral is "Eukaryotic large subunit ribosomal RNA". It matches the Rfam family "Eukaryotic large subunit ribosomal RNA", at positions 3014 to 3154 of the family's 3401-position model. Lineage: Eukaryota; Metazoa; Chordata; Actinopteri; Semionotiformes; Lepisosteidae. The record is from Rfam by way of RNAcentral.